Molecule: long non-coding RNA, 280 nt
Organism: Passer montanus (Eurasian tree sparrow)
Lineage: Eukaryota; Metazoa; Chordata; Aves; Passeriformes; Passeridae
Exons: 3
Source: RefSeq, a predicted model, not a curated record
CUCCUCCUCCGGCCCCGCUCCGGGCUCGGCCUCUCGGAGCAGCUCCCCCCACAGCCCGGAGUUCCAGGAGGAUUCCGACUCCGGCAGCGACUUUGAGGCCUCUCUGCGCCCCCGGAGCAAGCGGGGACCCCCCCGAGGAGCCCCCAGGAGCCUCGCCCCAAAGCGCUCCCGCCGCUCCGGUGGGGAUGGGAGGGAUCUGGAGCAGAAUUCCCCGGAGCAGAAUUCCCCGGAGCAGAAUUCCCUCUUCGAGGCCGUUUUUUCAGGAAAAGCGGCCACGGAG